This 67-nucleotide transfer RNA is filed under the name Triplophysa tenuis. RNAcentral describes it as "tRNA-Cys". It matches the Rfam family "tRNA". From Rfam's summary of the family: Transfer RNA (tRNA) molecules are approximately 80 nucleotides in length. Lineage: Eukaryota; Metazoa; Chordata; Actinopteri; Cypriniformes; Nemacheilidae. The record is from RNAcentral.
AGCCCCGUAGUGGAGUACACGUUGGAUUGCAAAUCCAAAAGACGCAGAUUGACGUCUGCCGGGGCUU